GCGUAAUGGACGCAGAUGAAGUCGCCGUGGUAUUAACUGGGUUCGGACCUUUCAGACAGUACUUAGUAAAUCCAAGUUGGCAGGCAGCUCAGGGUUUGGGGAAGGUCAGACUGGGAGAGAACAUUAAUAUCUACAUUAAAGAGGUACCAGUGAGCUACACCAAAUCACAGCAGGUCAUAGUUGGCAUGUGGGAAACUGUUAACCCAAAGUUUGCCAUACACCUUGGAAUAGCCCCGGGUUCCAGAGGCAUCUCUCUGGAGCAGACAGGCAAGAACCAUGGUUACAGUGAUAGAGAUGUGUGUGGCUUUUGUCCUGUCAAUCAUUGCUGUGUUGAAGGAGGACCAGACAGACUAGACUCCAUCAUAGACAUGAGGUCCCUCUCCAAGGACCUCAAACAAAUGGGUCUGGAUGUCAUCUACUCAAGGGAUGCAGGAAGGUACCUGUGUGAUUUUGUGUAUUACUGCUCUCUGUACCAUGGCCAUGGGAGGGCAGCCUUCAUCCACGUGCCAGCCUCAGGCAGCCUGGCCACUCCUGACAGACUGGUGCCCCUGCUGCAGACUGUCAUUCAGGCCAUGCUCAACCAGCUGGAGGCCCUACAGACAGCACAAGACCACAUGACAACUGUCUCCAAGACUCCCGAAGACCCAACCAUGGCUACCUCAGGCAUAGUGCACACAGGAGAUGACCCAUGACCGGUGUGAGUUAGAUCAUGCCGCCCUUAUUGUUACUAUUCAUACUGUAUCAAUGUGUUGUAAACAGAAAGUCAUUCUGCUAAAUAUACAAUAAUGGAAUACAGUCAGGGUAUGUUGAGAUAAGCAAUCAGUCAUGACAAAAAGUCAUCUUUCUCAUUCACGUUUUUAUUCAAAUUUUAAGAAAAAAAGAAAAAUACAAGAAAUUCUCAUAGAUACACAUUAAGAGAAUGGCAUGUCAAAAAUACACCAUCUCAACUAUACGUGUGAAAAACCAGGAGGCCUCAGAUACAGAACUUGCAAAAAGACAGAGUCUAGACAAGCUGUUUAACCAAAUCUAUUUGCCAAUCAUUGAAAUGACACAGAGAUUCAGAUUUUGUGAAAGUAAAAGUAAAUAAAAACUACGUAAAAUCUUCUCAGUAGAUCAAGGCCCCUUUUUGAAGUUGUCGGAAUGCAAAGCAGAACAACAGUGCCUGAAAAAUUAUACUGGUAAACCUCAAGCUCAUUAUUGCGAUUUGAUUGCAUGGAUGCAUCUUCUAUAAACCUGAGGUUUGCAUAUAGAACAUUCUGAAGAAAAUACAAUUAAAAUUAUAUUAAUGAUUAUUGAAAUGCAACCUUUUCAGUCAAUCUUAUCUCCAUGUUUGCAAAUUGGCAAUGCAAAAAGAAACAAUUUCUCUACUGUAAACAACUCUUCUUAAAACUCUAGUCAUGCUAUUUACUCUCUGCCAUGACUACCCGUAAUCUACUGGACAUGUCUGUCCUAUUUAUGUCCAUGUAUCUACUUGAGUUGUGGUUAUAAUAGGUAUGUAACCUUCUGGUAACUAAGGAACCCAGACAGCAUUCCAAGAAAACAGAUAAUCACUGCGCAACAGGCCAACCCUUUAACCAAUUUUGAUAACUGAAAAAAAGAAGAAAUAAAUAUCACAUAUCUCUAUCUUUUAUCAUUACAGACACCAACACUUGAAACACUACAUCUAAAUGUGAAACACUCCCAUCCAUUAAACUGUACUCAACAACAGAAGCACAGGGACCUUGUUAAAAAGGUGAUCUGAAUUAUUAAAAAAAAAUCUGGUAGUAUAUAUAUAUAUAUAGUAUAGUAUAUAUAUAUAUAUAUAUAUAUAUAUAUAUAUAUAUAUAUAUAUAUAUAUAUAUAUAAAGGCGUUUGUUUCUGCCAAUGUGCCAUUCAUCCAACCAAGUCUCUUUUGCUGCACUCAUCCCCCCCAAUGGAUUUAAAGCCUAAAAAAAGUAUAACUUCAGAAUAUUGAACACUUAAGCCUUCCAGGUUUUGUUGAGCUGUGAACCAAAAACCUUUCUCCAUCCCGCUACCAAAAAAAGAUUGUUUCUUAAACAACUGGUAAACAUAACUCAGAAUCAUGUUUAUAUGCCUUCAACUCCACUUGACUUUUUGGUCAAAUCAGAGCUUCCCCUUUCUAUGACCCUUAAUGAAAAAUACCUUUGAUGAAAAUUUGAGGUCUAAAUCCAACCAUGCCAUCUCAACUAUACUUCCAAUGAUAUUGGCCCAGUCUUGAUUGGCCCACCCCCAGAUUGAGACACCAUUUUUGAAGCAGCGCUAUUAUCAGCAGCAGUAGAAUAGAGAAAGAAGAGGGUGCAGUCUCAAAACUAAUCACAAUGAGGAUGAUGAUGAAGAUUACAAUGAAGGGACAUUAACAUCAACUACCUCAACAUCUGAGUCUAUUCAGAUGUUAAGUCUAUUCCAAGCCAAUUGGAAUUAUUUAAAAAAAUCUUAACGGGACAAAAAAGAUUACUACAAUAUUUGAAUGUGGGAGCUUUGUAGGUGUUAUUUAGAAAAGCUAGUCGUUAGGAGCAGGUGGAUAGGAUGGAGAGAUUAGAUGAGGAAGGAGUACAGAUGAACCAACAGUGUCCUGUCUGUCAGAUGCAUGAGGAGGUGGAGCAGCAGCAGACAGCUGUAGAUGUUCUUUCUACAGUUGGUCUGCUUUGAGACAUCCCUCCCAGGACAGAGUAUGUGGUGUCUUAACCUGUUUUGCUUUCAUGUAAGACAAUUACUCCAUAUUGACCUAGUAUCUCGCUAAUGCCGGUUAUUUCUACACUCAACUGCUCCCAGCAACAUAACGGACAAAGCACCUUUUCGUAGUUGUAGCACUGACUUUGAGAAAAUGUAUGGGGAUAUUGAGUGUAGGAGUAUGUGAGUAUGGUUUAUGUUGUCUUCACUAAGAGGGUUUCACAGAAAUAAGUGCCGUCAUUUAUACUUUAGGGGAAAUCAGUACUUUACAUAGAUAUUAGCAACUGACAUUUUUACAAGAAGAAAUGUCUAAGCUGAAACCAGAAGCCAGUGUUGGCAAACAUUCUAUAGGAGUUGUUUCAAUGUCAGUAGUGGUUUAGUUAUCCGGAAUACAGGCUAAAGCCAAACAUCCUCUGAUCUACCUUAUUUUCCAAUAUACAGUACAUUACAACAGCAAAGGAUUUAUGUCUUGCAAAAUGUCUUGAAUGAUUAAAGAUGAUAAAUGCAAUGUUUCCCAUUAAAAACUUUUUUGUUUGUUGCUUAACUCCAAUGUACUGAUUUGUUUUAAAUCUACCUAAAUACAUACAAAAUAAAGAAGAUACCGUUCAGCUUCACCCUUCUUGGCAGCUGUAUGAUCUGAGGAUUUCUUAUUGUGAAAUCAUUGUUUGCGGAGGAGGGGAGAUGGGAUUUCUGCAGGGUGUAGCUACAUAUGAGGACACUGAGGUCCAGACCUCAGUAAUAAAAAAAUACAAUUUACUGUUGAGAGUUAGAAUAGUAGAAUACAUAAGGUGCAAUUUUGAAACUUGGUUGUGCAUCAGCAGUUUUUCUCUUGUUAUAUGUCACUUACUUACAGUCACUCAAUCAGCCCAUGUCCGUUAAAACAUUUUAGAUUGGUAAAUUAGUCUAGUUAGUCUAGCCAGCUAUCUAAACUUAUAGUAAUCAUGGCCAAAUUCCUGACCGGUAACGCAGGAGACAUGCCCAGGGGCCCUGGCCUCCAUUGAUUUUGUUAGUUACUCUCACACAGAAAUCAUAUUAACAUGGCAUAAAUCAUGGCAAAAUGUGUAGAAUUGCAGGAAAUUAGCUCUAAAACGGCAACAAAAAAUAGUUAUGUAUAGCAAACGUAUUUGUUCACCUUUUGUUAAUAAAAUAUUUUUUCUGAUAGACAAAUCCCUCUGUACGUAUUCAAUUAUAGUUUUUAAUCUAAUUGUGUAAUUUAUAGGCUAUGUGUUUGUAGAUCGACUGAGGUGAAUGAAGCUACAGCAACCCAUGUGAUAAUGCUUGUUUUUGCUGUUCUCCAAAUAGCAUUUUACAGUUUAAUUGUAUAGAAAUGCAGUAAAUAAGAUUCAACUUUCUUAAAAUGUCCUUGGCUAUGGCCCUGGAUGUCUGAGGUGGCUGUGUCCUGCUCUCUACCAAUACAUACUGUACUGUGACUUUGUGUAGCCUACUGGAAACACUUCCCAUCACAAUAGUCAUUUGAUGUUAUUCUAAGUUAGCAUUAUUAGGUAACCAGGUUAGCAUGUUAGUGCUCAAACCAUUAGAGUUGGACUUGAGAAAUACAGGCCAGACAACGUCUUUCAUUAAAUCAAACCCAUAACAUAAUCUGUACCAUAUACAUUAUAAUCCUCAUACUUUCAGUUAACUACAAACAUACUUUAUUUUCUAUUUAAAAUAGCAGAAAAUAGCAGAAAAUUGAGUUGAUACAGAAAUCUUUAAGCAUAUGGGACUAGAUAGAAUUAGAACCACCCUAGCUACAUCCCAUCUCCACUCCAACCUAGUGUGUGUGUGGUGUGUAUUGAUAAUGAGGUCUACCCGGAUCCAGAGAACUGUGAGGUUACCUUAUACGGACUAAUGAGAAAAGGUGAGAUGUACUUUUGUUUUCAUACACAUACAUAUAUUUUAAAAGAGUGAGGUAGAUAUAUAUACUUGAAGGGAAAAAAAGAAAAACAUCCCCAGUCAUGACACCAAAGAAAAUACAUAACAAAAUCAAACUUUAUACUGAAUCAUGGGGCCUUUAUACAGUGAUUUAAACUGAUAUCACAAAAGGAAAAUAAAAAAAUAAAUAACAAUCCUACAGAGAAAACCUUCAAAUAAGGAAAAAAGUAUAACCAAGCAACACUUCUUCAAAAGGAGAAGUGCUUCAAAAACACUUUUCAUACUGACACCCCCAGUAAGACCCAUUCCAUUCAUGACAUUGAAAUGUGACCACUUCCCUGGACUUUAACCCAUCCUUAUUUGGUUUACAGAUGCCAUGUUUAAGGAGACAAACAACAUAAACUGUUUUCACUUUGAUCAUAAGAGAAUGAGUAUGACAACAGAAAUGAAUUGAAUGAUAAAGGAGAAUAAGCAGUAAUGCUGCGCUUGAAAGCUAAGACACAAAAAGAGAACCAUGAUUAUGGAUGAGUCUUCUUUGAGGGAAUGGCGAGUGGUUGGGAUAAUUAAGGCAAACGAGACAACCCAAUUAGCCCUAUUAAUUGAGAGGCAGGAAAAUGGAUGGGUUAAAAUACCAGAUGCAGUAGAAAAAAAGAAAAUCCUGUGUAACUAAUCCUGACUUCAAAAGGAGGCACUGGGGGAGGCAGGUAUACUGUACAUUUCAGUGUGGGGCCGGAGGGGAGGGGAGAGGGCACUAUUGGACUUGAAAGAGAGGUGAAACAAGCAGAGGACAGUAAUGAGAAUGUAUGGAGAAAGCAAAACCUUUACUUCGACCUGAGAUUGAGUUGCACCUAGGUGCAGUGCUAGACAACUGGUACAAGAAGGGUGCCAAACGUACAUGCUCACACAAGGAGCUAAGGUGUCCAUUCAAACUAAUAAUAAUAAUAAUAAUAAUAAUAAUAAUAAUAAUAAUAUAGAAAUCUACAAAAAAAGAAUGCAAAGGAAAACAUGUUCAUAAAAAAGAAAAAAGGCAAUGGACAAUAUGUGGUGAUACAGACAACAUUCUGGGGUAAAGAAGAGAGAAAAGUCAUUUUAUAUCUAAAUGAUCAUUUUCUUUGCUUGGAGAAGUAUGACGCAUAAGAAAUGGACUGUAGUGGAGAUCAUAAACUAUUAAACCUGAAGGAUUUCUUAUAUAUAUAUAUAUAUAUAUAUAUAUAUAUAAAACAUCCCCAAAAGAAAAAGAAUACAAUAGCAGCUUCAUUCUGUACAGGUGAACAUCUGAACAGUAUAAAAGUUAUAAAAGUGACAAACCAAUGAUGUGUGUGAAAAUGAUCCUAAGGUCUAACAUACAACUGUAAGACCUUUAUAUAAAUGUUUGAAUUGUACAGAGAGACAAUGACUAGUCUAAAAAAAUACCUGCUGUGUACAAUGCCUCGCAUGCCUUUAGCAGACGUAUGUACGCUCACAAGGUGGAGUUCUGUUGAGUCCUUUAGUUUUCCUUGUAUCAGAACUGAUCCAAUACCUUCCACUUCAGGUUUGUUUCUGUAUGUGUUGCAUUUUUGGCGCCAAGUCCUUUUUACUCAAUGUCUCUGUUGGUGAUGUUGGUAUUUUCAUCUCUCAGAUGACAUACAAUAGAAGAGGAAUCCAAUAAGGGCUCUGAUGUAAACCAGAAAAAAAUAACAGAAGAGAAACAGGCAGAUUCCUUUUACAAUGUGAUUGUAAUUGUGAAGUAGAAAACAAAAUCAACAGGUUAGGAUGCUUGAUUGUGUUUCUCUCCAUGUCCAAUCAAAAGGACAAAUGAAGAGCAAGAGGGAGAAAAUCACUAACUUUGAUUUGGCAAAAAAAUUGGCCGAUUCACAAUAGCCCCCCCUCUGUCAUAUCUACCCAAAUAAUUCCCUCCUACCCAGGAAUAUUUACAGGAAAACCAAUUAUCCUAGUCCAGAGCACAUUAAUGUCUGAAAUGUAUACCAAUGAAAAUAAGUUUGGAAGAGCAGCUAUAUUUUGCUGUCGAGAGAAUCAUGUGUUUGUAUAAAAAUACAGUGCAUUUGGAAAGUAUUCGGCCCUUGACUUUUUCCACAUUUUGUUAUGUUACAGCCUUAUUCUA
Molecule: RNA transcript, 6643 nt
Organism: Coregonus clupeaformis (lake whitefish)
Lineage: Eukaryota; Metazoa; Chordata; Actinopteri; Salmoniformes; Salmonidae
Exons: 5
Source: RefSeq, a predicted model, not a curated record